This 448-nucleotide ribosomal RNA is filed under the name uncultured bacterium. Its description in RNAcentral is "bacterial SSU rRNA". It matches the Rfam family "Bacterial small subunit ribosomal RNA", at positions 330 to 795 of the family's 1533-position model. The record is from RNAcentral.
GCCAGACUCCUACGGGAGGCAGCAGUGGGGAAUAUUGCACAAUGGGGGAAACCCUGAUGCAGCGACGCCGCGUGAGUGAAGAAGUAUUUCGGUAUGUAAAGCUCUAUCAGCAGGGAAGAAAAUGACGGUACCUGAUUAAGAAGCCCCGGCUAACUACGUGCCAGCAGCCGCGGUAAUACGUAGGGGGCAAGCGUUAUCCGGAUUUACUGGGUGUAAAGGGAGCGUAGACGGUGAUGCAAGUCAGAAGUGAAAGCCCGGGGCUCAACUCCGGGACUGCUUUUGAAACUGUGUGACUGGAGUGCAGGAGAGGUAAGCGGAAUUCCUGGUGUAGCGGUGAAAUGCGUAGAUAUCAGGAGGAACACCAGUGGCGAAGGCGGCUUACUGGACUGUAACUGACGUUGAGGCUCGAAAGCGUGGGGAGCAAACAGGAUUAGAUACCCCCGUAGAU